UUAAGCUGGUGUAGCAGAAGCAGAUAGUAUCUCAUAAAGGAUAUAGAUUAAUCUCUCCUUCCGAUCCAACACAUUUUGAAUCGUGCUUAUUUAAUUGAGCUUGUCUAAUACAAUUUAGAUUGUUCGGAGAAGUCAUGAUGACUUAAUAAAUGGUAUAAAGUAUGUUUUGUGAUAGAGGGGACAAGGCGUUGGGGAUAAAUACUCCACCGUAUAAAACGGAGAAGCAGGCCCCUAUAUACUCUGUCUUAAGGUCUACACCUAUCCCCUGCCUUUCACCCCCCUCCCCCCCACAAUAACACAUUCAAAAGCACCAUUUAUUAGAAUGAAAUCAUCAUUGUAAUAAUCAUCAUGCUGUUUUCAUCUACUCCACUAACAUCUUUUUAUUUUUAACAACUCAUCCUAUUUCAAUUUCCAAAUCAAUAUUUCAGUAAAUUUUAUAAUUGCUGAAUCAAUAGAUGGAUCAGAAGGAGUAGCUUCCAGAUUUGAGGGGAAUGUUGUUUGGCUCGAAGUCAUUAUCUCAUUAUAGAUCGAACCAAUCCAAUUUUAUAUAUUCAAUCUAGUUUAAAAUAUAUGUGAAUUACGAUGAUGAUGAGAUAGUGUCUUCGGACCAGGCUUCAUUCCCCCCAAUUUGGAAACAAAAAUUACAUUCCGUAAUUCUCUCUCCGUCUCUGAGGAUAUUUCUUGAGAAGAUGAGUUAACGUCACAAGUGAUGAAAGAGUUGAAACGAUUAUUGAAAAAUUUAGGUUACCUUGCACAAAGUAAGUGUAAGAUUGACAUAUACGCUCACUCUUCUCAAAUUACACUUAUGAAAUUAUAUUAGACAGUUGUUAGUGAUCAUCGAUAGUUAAGUCUUAGUUUUUCUGGUGUCUACCAGCAAUAAUUAAAUUCUAUGAGCUGUAAUUUGCAUUUCGUAUGCACAUGGUAUAGAUAGAUUGUAUAUCACUACAUAUAUUAAAAUCGUGUAAAUUGUAGUG
This is a long non-coding RNA of Solanum lycopersicum (tomato), 974 nucleotides long. RefSeq lists it as uncharacterized. The record is from RefSeq and is a predicted model, not a curated record. Lineage: Eukaryota; Viridiplantae; Streptophyta; Magnoliopsida; Solanales; Solanaceae.